GCCUAAGAGGAUAAAGCAAUCGAAUUCAAUAUUGAGAAUUGCCCACCUGUGGUUCCUUUGGCUUCGCAACGUGUUACCGGCAAGCCUCGGUUUGCAUGUAGGAGGUGAAGAACUCUGUUGAGAUCAAUAGAAAAUACCUCAGAUGAAGUAGUGAUUGCUUCCUUUCUGAAAGGCUAAUGGGAGGUUGCUCGCCUACACUUGCAUUGCCGGAUCUCAUGUCAAUGAGCUCUAAUUAGCAGACCAUAGCGCUUAUGCUUCCAUUCUCUGUGAAGAAGAGUCAAAUAGCAGUUGCUUGGUCUCGUCAAAGGCUGACUUCCUUCUCCUUGGUUUACUACCGCGGGCUUGGAUCCUUCCCGUUGAACAACGUCUUCGUGUAAAAGGCCAAGAGAGAUACAAAGCGUACAACGAAAGAAGACAAAAGCAUACCAUUCUGAAAGAAGUGAAAGUUAAUAAAGAAAGCAAUGUUUGAAAUGGCAAAGAAAAGAGAGGAAGUCUUCUACUCCCAAAGAUAACCAGCCAACGCGUGGAGGGAAAGUCAAA
RNAcentral lists this unclassified non-coding RNA (540 nucleotides) under Hevea brasiliensis (rubber tree). The record is from RNAcentral. Lineage: Eukaryota; Viridiplantae; Streptophyta; Magnoliopsida; Malpighiales; Euphorbiaceae.